This 110-nucleotide transfer RNA is filed under the name Rhodotorula diobovata. Its description in RNAcentral is "tRNA-Ser". It matches the Rfam family "tRNA". Rfam says of the family: Transfer RNA (tRNA) molecules are approximately 80 nucleotides in length. Lineage: Eukaryota; Fungi; Basidiomycota; Microbotryomycetes; Sporidiobolales; Sporidiobolaceae. The record is from RNAcentral.
GGCCAGAUGCCCGAGCGGUUAAGGGGACAGACUAGAAUAUGCGCUCGUGAGAGCCGCCUUGCUUCAUCUGUUAGGCUUUGCCUGCGCAGGUUCAAAUCCUGCUCUGGUCG